AAGUAUUUCUGCUGGAGUCUUUCUGUGAUUUUGAAUCCUGAUCAUUACCAGAGUGUUCAGGCACAAGAAUGUGAAGCAGCAUGCACAUGAGGAAUUACCUACCCACGGUGUGGGACAGUGGAAGGAAUGUUGGACUCCAGAUCAGAGGAACUGAGUUCAAAUCCUGAUUCUUCUCCUUACUUUGGUUUCCCCAAGGAAGAAUGGCAGAACACAUUCUCUGUAGCUCCUUCAGUCCCCCUUACUGGGAUAGUCUGGAGGGCUUUGGGACUCCCAGGGUUCAGGCAAAAAAUUGGUUGUUCGUUAUUGGUGGGGUGCCAAUAACUGACGCUGGUUUUGUGGCUGCAGGGCCUCAUGCCCACUUUUCUGGGCUCUCAUGGCACAGAUGUGAGCGAGGCACAAAGGAAGAAGGUGAUUGUUGGGAUAGCCGCAAGGAGGAAAGAGGAAAAAGAGAGCCGAUCAGGAA
Molecule: non-coding RNA, 463 nt
Organism: Phascolarctos cinereus (koala)
Lineage: Eukaryota; Metazoa; Chordata; Mammalia; Diprotodontia; Phascolarctidae
Source: RefSeq, a predicted model, not a curated record